Molecule: small nucleolar RNA, 75 nt
Filed under: Homo sapiens (human)
Lineage: Eukaryota; Metazoa; Chordata; Mammalia; Primates; Hominidae
Description: small nucleolar RNA, C/D box 103C (SNORD103C)
Rfam family: Small nucleolar RNA SNORD103/SNORD85
About the family: This family includes the snoRNAs SNORD103 (U103) and SNORD85 (HBII-251) .
Source: RNAcentral
GACUGGCAAGGAUGAUACACACUUGCCCUCACUUAGACUAUAGUUCACUGAUGAGAGCAUUGUUCUGAGCCAGUC